GUAAAGGCGCGCGGGAACAUGGGGCUGUACGCUGCGGUGGCAGGCGUGCUGGCCGGCGUGGAGAGCCGCCAGGGCUCUAUCAAGGGGCUGGUGUACUCCAGCAACUUCCAGGUAGCGGGCCCGGGCGCCACAAGUAGGGGUGGGGGGUGAGGAACCCGGGGUGGGGUGGGACGGGCCCGGAUGGGGUCGGGAGGUGGGGCCCGGCGAGGAGGGCCGGGGGAGCCCCCGACCCAGCUUGUCUCCCUCGGCCACACAGAACGUGAAGCAGCUGUACGCGCUGGUGUGCGAAACGCAGCGCUACUCCGCCGUGCUGGAUGCCGUGAUCUCCAGCGCCGGCCUCCUCAGUGCGAAGAAGCUGCAGCCGCACCUGGCCAAGGGUAGGGGCGGGGCGGGGAAGUGAACCCCGACGGUCAGCGCUUUGUCAUCUGGUUUCAGCCCCGCUGCCGUGCACGGCGGGACUGGAGCAAGUCGCUCACCUGAAAUGAGUAUGAGCAGACCUUCCCUGGGUUACGAAUUGAGAUGGGAUGAAAAUGCUUUAACUUCGAGUGUUUUGAAGGAUUAAAUAACCGAAGUACAAAGUAGUAGUAGCGGAGACAGUAAGGAAGUCGGGCGUGGCGGCGCGCACCUGUGGUCCCAGCUACUCGGAAGGCUGAGGGGGGAGGAUCACUUGAGCCCAGGAGUUCGAAGCUGCAGUGAGCUGUGAUGUGGCCACUGCACUUCAGCCUGGGCGACAGAUCUAGACCCCAUUCUAAAAAAAAACAAAAACCCCAAACCCACACCCACGAAAGGGUAAUGUUGGCAAGAAGCUGGGUGCAGAGGUCUACUGGUGAACAUCUGUGGGGAAAGGGUCUAAGGCUGGGAAGCGAGACGCCAGGUUCCGAUCCUGUUGUGUAGUUAAUUUCUGGUGUGGUCUUGAGUAAGGUACCCCACCUUUAUCUGUAACCAUCUAGUCAGGUGAUCUCUUUAGCCAUUCCAGUGCCCGGGCUCUAUUAGAGUUAGUUCUAAGGCAUUCAUACUUCUUGCUUAGGGCGUUUCUGUCUUUGAUCCCUCAUCCCCAGGUGCUAGUGUAUGAGUUGUUGGGAAAGGGCUUUCGAGGGGGUGGGGGCCAAUGGAAGGCUCUGUUGGGACGGCACCAGGCGAGGUGUUGAGUUGGCUCGGCUCAAGGUUCUUCGGGGUGUGAGCUGGCAUGAGGACCUGUUGGAAGUGGGAUCCAGGCCUGGUCCAGCCUCCCAGCUGCCUCGAUUUGUGCGUGUGAACACUCUCAAGACCUGCUCCGUUUAUGUAGUUAUUUCAAGAGACAAGGUUUCUCCUAUCAGGGUCGGGCUUCCAGGCUGGAUGGAGUGCCCUGGCGCGAUCUCGGCUCACCGCAACCUCUGCCUCCUGGGUUCAAGCGAUUCUCCUGCUUCAGCCUUCUGAGUAGCUGGGAUUAUGAAGGGGUGGCCUGCCCCUCCACAUCUGUGGGAUAUCUCAUCAGGUGGGACAAGAGACUGAGAAAAGAAAUAAGACACAGAGACAAAGUAUAGAGAAACAACAGUGGGCCCAGGAGACUGGCACUUAGCAUACCAAGGACCUGCACCAGCACUGGUCUCCGAGUUCCCUCAGUUUUUAUUGAUUAUUAUUUUCAUUAUCUCAGCACAAGGAAUGCGGUAGGAGAGCAGGGUGAUAAUAAGGAGAAGGUCAGCAAAAAAACAUGUGAGCAAAGGAAUCUGUGUCAUAAUUAAGUUCAAAGGGAGGUACUAUGCCUGGAUGUGCACGUAGGCCAGAUUUAUGUUUCCCUCCGCCCAAACAUCUGUGGAGUAAAGCAUAACAAGGCAGCAUUGCUGCCAACAUGUCUCGCCUCCCGCCAUAGGGUGGUUUUUCUCCUAUCUCAGAAUUGAACAAAUGUACAAUCGGGUUUUAUACCGAGACAUUCAGUUCCCAGGGGCAGGCAGGAGACAGUGCCCUUCCUCUAUCUCAACUGCAAGGCUUUCCUCUUUUACUAAUCCACCUCAGCACAGACCCUUUACGGGUGUCGGGCUGGGGCACAGCCUCUCAUCCCAUGAGGCUAUAUUUCAGACUAUCACAUGGGGAGAACCUUGGACAAUACCUGGCUUUCCAGGGCAGAGGUCCCUGCAGCUUUUCACAGUACAUUGUGCCUCUGGUUUAUUGAGACUAGAGAACGGCGAAGACUUUUACCAAGCAUACUGCUUGUAAACGUUUUAUUAACAAGGCAUGUCCUGCACAGCCCUAGAUCCUUUAAACCUUGAUUCCAUACAACACAUGUUUUUGUGAGCUCAAAUUUGGGGCAAAGUCACAAAUUAACAGCAUCUCAGCCAACCAAUUGUUCAAGGUACAGGUCAAAAUGGAAUUUCUUAUGUCUUCCCUUUCUACACAGACACAGUAACAGUCUGAUCUCUCUUUCUUUUCCCUACAGGAUUGCAGGCAUGCAGCACCAUGCCUGGCUAAUUUUGUAUUUUUAGUAGAGACGGGAUUUCUCCAUGUUGGCCAGGCUGGUCUCAAACUCCUGACCUCAGGUGAUCUGCCCACCUUGGCCUCCCAAAAUGCUGGGAUUACAGGCAUGAACCACCGCGCCCGGCCAUGCUAAGUCCUUUCUUGGCUCCAUUGUGCUGUCCCUCCUGCUUCCUCUCCAGGUCCAUCUGCCACAGUGCUACGUGCACCAGCGUGCCAGCAACAGUGGCUGGUCUCUGCCCCGUGCCUCCUCCACUGGGCUCACACCUGUCUUAUUUUGUCCUUUGGUGGCUCUGAGAAGCAGCCUCUGCCCCUCUCCCUUUCCCUUACUCUUUGUAAGAUCCUCUUCCUUCUGCCCUACCAUGUUGCUUGGACACCAGGGUGGAAUAGCAGAGAACGGCUGCUUGUGUUUGAAUUCCAGCUCUGCCACUUCGAUAGAUUUCUGAACUGAGACAUGUGACUCUCUAGGCCUAUUUCUGCAUGGGUCGGAGAGUGGGCGGGACUGCUUUACUGAGUUAUAGUGAAUGUAGUUUUAACCUAAGCGCCUCACAUGACUAACUCCUCAUCCAUCAAGAAUGAGCUCAGCUCUCACUUCCCCACUCCUCACCCCCCUGUAAAGUAACCUUUCUCCAAGGUUAUGCUUCAACAGGAAUAGCUAACAUUUAUUAAAUUGUGGCACGUAAGUAUCUUGGAUAUAUUGGCUCAUUGAAUCCUCACACCUACUAUUUUACAGAGAUGCCAGUGGGGCUUGAGAUUGAAUCACUUGCCCAGGCUCCCACUGCUGGUAAACAGUAGAGGGGGCUCCUGACCCAUCAGUCUGGCUUGACAACCCAUUCCCUCAACUGCGGAUCCCGGAUUCCCUUAUCACCCUGUUGAUUUCUCCAUAGCUGUGGUAACAUUUGUUGCAUGAAUGGACCGUUGAAAUAGGGCCUGGCAGGGAGAAAUUCAGGAAAUGAAUGAAUGGUUCUUCCCUGGCAGCCUUGAUGACUUACAAGCCCUCAAGGGGAAGCAUUUUCUCCUGGACUCCUUGAUGCCGGAGCUGCUGGUGUUUCCCGCCCAGACAGAUCUGCAUGAACACCCACUGUACCGGGCCGGACACCUCAUUCUGCAGGACAGGGCCAGCUGUCUCCCAGCCAUGCUGCUGGACCCCUGCCAGGCUCCCAUGUCAUCGAUGCCUGUGCCGCCCCAGGCAAUAAGACCAGUCACUUGGCUGCUCUUCUGAAGAACCAAGGGAAGAUCUUUGCCUUUGACCUGGAUGCCAAGCGGCUGGCAUCCAUGGCCACGCUGCUGGCCUGGGUUGGCGUCUCCUGCUGUGAGCUGGCUGAGGAGGACUUCCUGGCGGUCUCCCCCUUAGAUCCGCGCUAUCGUGAGGUCCACUAUGUCCUGCUGGAUCCUUCCUGCAGUGGCUCGGGUGAGAUGGUGAGAAGGCGUGGCUGAGGGACUCGGAGGUCCACAGCAGCUUAGACCUGGAGUCAUCUGUUUUGGUCUUAGUUCUGACACUUUAAUGGGCUUGGGACCCUGGAGCAAAAGUUCUCCUCUGUGAGGCAAGGAUUUCAGGAGCGAGGAUUUCAGGACUGAGGCAGCCUGUGAAGCUGUGUAACCGAGACACGCUUUUCCUUAGGUAUGCCGAGCAGACAGCUGGAGGAUCCCGGGGCAGGGACACCUAGCCCGGUGCGUCUGCAUGCCCUGGCAGGGUUCCAGCAGCGAGCCCUGUGCCACGCGCUCACUUUCCCUUCCCUGCAGCGGCUCGUCUACUCCAUGUGCUCCCUCUGCCAGGAGGAGAAUGAAGACAUGGUACCAGAUGCGCUGCAGCAGAACCCGGGCGCCUUCAGGCUAGCUCCCGCCCUGCCUGCCCGGCCCCACCGAGGCCUGAGCACGUUCCCGGGUGCCGAGCACUGCCUCCGGGCUUCCCCCAAGACCACGCUUAGCGGUGGCUUCUUCGUUGCUGUAAUUGAACGGGUCGAGAUGCCGAUGUGAGUGAGUGGGGGCAUGCUUGGGAGGCGCAGGAUGGUACUGGCACAUCUAACAUCUACACUUCUCUAGCUCAGCCUCACAGGCCAAAGCAUCAGCACCAGAACGCACACCCAGCCCAGCCCCAAAGAGAAAGAAGAGACAGCAAAGAGCCGCAGCCGGUGCUUGCACACCGCCUUGCACAUAGCAGAGGCUCCAGGCUGACUCCUUCCUGGUGGGAAAGGAAGAUGCCUGUCCUCUCCGUGGAGGACCCUGGGCCCUCACCGCAGGCAGCAGUUUGCAUUUUGAAAGGUUAUUGGGUCCCUUCCUCGGGCUGUGUUCUUGCUGGUGAGCAAAAGUGUUGCCUGCAGAAAUAAAAUGCAGAACGUACUCU
Long non-coding RNA from Homo sapiens (human), 4792 nucleotides. Ensembl annotates it as NSUN5 pseudogene 1. Its record names the gene NSUN5P1. The record is from Ensembl. NCBI's taxonomy places the organism in Eukaryota, Metazoa, Chordata, Mammalia, Primates, Hominidae.